This 254-nucleotide ribosomal RNA is filed under the name uncultured bacterium. RNAcentral's name for it is "partial 16S ribosomal RNA". It matches the Rfam family "Bacterial small subunit ribosomal RNA", at positions 524 to 776 of the family's 1533-position model. The record is from RNAcentral.
GACGUAGGGCGCGAGCGUUGUCCGGAUUUAUUGGGCGUAAAGAGCUCGUAGGCGGUUCGGUAAGUCGAAUGUGAAAUCUCCACGCUCAACGUGGAGGGGUCAUUCGAAACUGCCGUGACUUGAGUACGGUAGGGGAGUGUGGAAUUCCCGGUGUAGCGGUGAAAUGCGCAGAGAUCGGGAGGAACACCCGUAGCGAAGGCGGCACUCUGGGCCGAUACUGACGCUGAGGAGCGAAAGCGUGGGGAGCAAACAGG